Molecule: long non-coding RNA, 1191 nt
Filed under: Equus caballus (horse)
Lineage: Eukaryota; Metazoa; Chordata; Mammalia; Perissodactyla; Equidae
Description: lncRNA (ENSECAG00000044896.1)
Source: RNAcentral
UAAAAAAAAAUCCACUCAACGACAAUGGUGAGAGGGCAAGUUUCUAGCAAAGCAUUAGGUAGCUAACCUAAAUAAUAAAUCAGUGUAGCAUCAAGUCCAAGAAGAAAUAGACAAGCUUGAGCACUGGGUUUCCAGCUACCGGCUGUAAGCAUGGAGAAAGAGUAGAGAUGGGUGAGAGAGGGAAAAAAAUGAAUUGUAUAUACACGUAACUUUCCUUGAGACCCAGAACAGAUCAAAUAUUAAUUAAGGAAAACUGCUCUCUUUUAUAUUCAUAAAAGCCUGCAUCAUUAUAAGGCCUUUCAGGUCAUUUUUCAGCACAUUGGUUGUUUCUACAUUUGCUAAAAUCCUUGUAGAUGGGACAAAAUGAAUAUAUGUUCAGAACAACUCAUCCACCCUAGUUUUCUUGCAUCCCGCUCUCCAGGUACACCAAGUCCCCAUUCCAAGGCCCACACUCUUCCCUCUUCAAAAUCCUUUCAUAUUCCGUUUUCUCUCUCUGUGACACAUCUUCCUCUUUUCUGCCUCUUCUUCAUCCAACCAAGUUUCACUAAUUCUUAGUCCCAACUCAAUGUCACCAACUCCAGGGAACUGCGUUCUCCUAGAUCGUCCCACAUUCCUCCAUGGAGGUUUCAUCUUUGUUCCCUAGCUUCACAGCCCCAAGGCUAUGAGCACCCGGAGGGCUGGGCUCUGUAAUUUUUACUAACACACUGCUGUCCCUCUCUGCAAGUCAUGCCAUCCCCUUGCCCCACCCCAGCGCUCUCCCUUUUCCUUCAUAGCCAAACUUCCCCUCUGGGUCACUUCUUGACUUCCCUUCAUAAGUCACUUCUCUCUAUUCUGGCUUCUUGAGCCCAUCACUCUAAUAAAACUACUCUGUCUAAUAUACCCUUACUAAUCCCAAGGCACACUAUAGACCUAUCUAUAGGUUUUUAUGGAAAUCUGGGGCUCAUUCAUUACUCCUUUGUCACCAUUAUCCCCAGCUCUAGGUAAUGACCAGCCUCUACUUUCCAUGAAGCCUCAAGUCUGUCCCACUUCUCUCUGCCCCUUCUGCUACUGCCCUCAUUCAGACUUCCUCACCUGGCACCUGGAUGCUGCCACACUCUCCCAACUGGCCUUCCUGCUUCCAACCUAGUCUCCCACUACUGCACCAGAGUGAUCCUUCUUAAAAGCAAAUCAUAUUACUGAAGACCUCCACUU